RNAcentral lists this ribosomal RNA (755 nucleotides) under uncultured bacterium. Its description in RNAcentral is "bacterial SSU rRNA". It matches the Rfam family "Bacterial small subunit ribosomal RNA", at positions 59 to 810 of the family's 1533-position model. The record is from RNAcentral.
CAGUCGAACGAAGCACUUUUUUAGAUUUCCUUCGGGGAAGAAGAAAUUGUGACUGAGUGGCGGACGGGUGAGUAACGCGUGGGCAACCUGCCCCAUACAGGGGGAUAACAGCCGGAAACGGCUGCUAAAACCGCAUAAGCGCACAAGGGCCGCAUGGCCUGGUGUGAAAAACUCCGGUGGUAUGGGAUGGGCCCGCGUCUGAUUAGCUAGUUGGCGGGGGAGAGGCCCACCAAGGCGACGAUCAGUAGCCGACCUGAGAGGGUGGCCGGCCACAUUGGGACUGAGACACGGCCCAAACUCCUACGGGAGGCAGCAGUGGGGAAUAUUGCACAAUGGGGGAAACCCUGAUGCAGCGACGCCGCGUGAGCGAAGAAGUAUUUCGGUAUGUAAAGCUCUAUCAGCAGGGAAGAAAAAUGACGGUACCUGAGUAAGAAGCACCGGCUAAAUACGUGCCAGCAGCCGCGGUAAUACGUAUGGUGCAAGCGUUAUCCGGAUUUACUGGGUGUAAAGGGAGCGCAGGCGGUGCGGCAAGUCUGAUGUGAAAGCCCGGGGCUCAACCCCGGGACUGCAUUGGAAACUACCGAACUAGAGUGUCGGAGAGGUAAGUGGAAUUCCUAGUGUAGCGGUGAAAUGCGUAGAUAUUAGGAGGAACACCAGUGGCGAAGGCGGCUUACUGGACGAUAACUGACGCUGAGGCUCGAAAGCGUGGGGAGCAAACAGGAUUAGAUACCCUGGUAGUCCACGCCGUAAACGAU